GAUGAAGAACGUAGCGAAAUGCGAUAAGUAAUGUGAAUUGCAGAAUUCAGUGAAUCAUCGAAUCUUUGAACGCACAUUGCGCCCGCUAGUAUUCUGGCGGGCAUGCCUGUCCGAGCGUCAUUUCAACCUCAAGCCCCCGGGCUUGGUGUUGGGGAUCGGCGAGCCUCCGCGCCCGCCGUCCCCUAAAUCUAGUGGCGGUCUCGCUGUAGCUUCCUCUGCGUAGUAGCACACCUCGCACUGGGAAACAGCGCGGCCACGCCGUUAAACCCCCAACUUCUGAACGUUUGACCUCGGAUCAGGUAGGAAUACCCGCUGAACUUAAGCAUAUCAAUAAGCGGAGGA
RNAcentral lists this unclassified non-coding RNA (342 nucleotides) under soil metagenome. RNAcentral's name for it is "partial contains 5.8S ribosomal RNA, internal transcribed spacer 2, and large subunit ribosomal RNA". The stretch from base 1 to 120 matches the Rfam family "5.8S ribosomal RNA", at positions 35 to 154 of the family's 154-position model. The record is from RNAcentral.